CAGUAGCCGCGGUAAUACGAAGGGUGCAAGCGUUACUCGGAAUUACUGGGCGUAAAGCGUGCGUAGGUGGUGGUUUAAGUCCGUUGUGAAAGCCCUGGGCUCAACCUGGGAAUUGCAGUGGAUACUGGGUCACUAGAGUGUGGCAGAGGAUAGUGGAAUUUCCGGUGUAGCAGUGAAAUGCGUAGAGAUCGGAAGGAACAUCUGUGGCGAAGGCGACAAUCUGGGCCAACACUGACACUGAGGCACGAAAGCGUGGGGAGCAAACAGGAUUAGAUACCCGUGUAGUCCCUGUCUCUUAUAA
RNAcentral lists this ribosomal RNA (301 nucleotides) under uncultured bacterium. RNAcentral's name for it is "partial 16S ribosomal RNA". It matches the Rfam family "Bacterial small subunit ribosomal RNA", at positions 509 to 809 of the family's 1533-position model. The record is from RNAcentral.